RNAcentral lists this ribosomal RNA (254 nucleotides) under uncultured bacterium. RNAcentral describes it as "partial 16S ribosomal RNA". It matches the Rfam family "Bacterial small subunit ribosomal RNA", at positions 524 to 776 of the family's 1533-position model. The record is from RNAcentral.
UACGUAGGAUGCAAGCGUUGUCCGGAAUUAUUGGGCGUAAAGAGCUCGUAGGCGGUUCGGUAAGUCAGCUGUGAAAUCUCCACGCUCAACGUGGAGGGGUCAGCUGAUACUGCCGUGACUUGAGUCUGGUAGGGGAGUGCGGAAUUCCCGGUGUAGCGGUGAAAUGCGCAGAUAUCGGGAGGAACACCAGUGGCGAAGGCGGCACUCUGGGCCAGUACUGACGCUGAGGAGCGAAAGCGUGGGGAGCGAACAGG